This 445-nucleotide ribosomal RNA is filed under the name uncultured bacterium. RNAcentral's name for it is "partial 16S ribosomal RNA". It matches the Rfam family "Bacterial small subunit ribosomal RNA", at positions 354 to 796 of the family's 1533-position model. The record is from RNAcentral.
GUUAGGAAUAUUGGUCAAUGGGCGAGAGCCUGAACCAGCCAAGUCGCGUGAAGGAAGAAGGAUCUAUGGUUCGUAAACUUCUUUUGCAGGGGAAUAAAGUGCGGGACGUGUCCUGUUUUGUAUGUACCCUGAGAAUAAGGAUCGACUAACUCCGUGCCAGCAGCCGCGGUAAUACGGAGGAUCCGAGCGUUAUCCGGAUUUAUUGGGUUUAAAGGGUGCGUAGGUGGUUUGAUAAGUCAGCGGUGAAAGUUUGCAGCUUAACUGUAAAAAUGCCGUUGAAACUGUCGGACUUGAGUGUAAAUGAGGUAGGCGGAAUGCGUGGUGUAGCGGUGAAAUGCAUAGAUAUCACGCAGAACUCCGAUUGCGAAGGCAGCUUACUAAGCUACAACUGACACUGAAGCACGAAAGCGUGGGGAUCAAACAGGAUUAGAAACCCCGGUAGUCC